UCCUCGGUGUCCACAGCACCCUCUUUCUUUCCUUCGCAGCGAUCCUACUGCCAGAAGUUCGCCAUGUCUAUUCUCAGGAUCCACGCCAGGGAGAGCUUUGACUCCCGUGGGAAUCCCACUGUUGAGGUCGAUCUGUACACCGCAAAAGGUCUCUUCCGAGCUGCGGUGCCCAGCGGUGCGUCCACUGGCAUCUACGAGGCCCUAGAACUCCGAGACAAUGAUAAGACCCGCUUCAUGGGGAAGGGUGUCUCACAGGCUGUUGAGCACAUCAAUAACACUAUUGUGCCUGCUCUGGUUAGCAAGAAAGUGAAUGUUGUGGAACAAGAGAAGAUUGACAAGCUGAUGAUCAAGAUGGACGGCACAGAGAAUAAAUCUAAAUUUGGUGCAAAUGCCAUCCUGGGAGUGUCCCUGACUGUCUGCAAAGCUGGUACCGUGGAAAAGGGGAUGCCCCUUUACCGCCACAUUGCUGACUUGGCCGGCAACCCUGAAGUCAUCCUGCCAGUCCCCGCUUUCAAUGUGAUCAACAGUGGUUCUCAUGCUGGCAACAAGCUGGCCAUGCAAGAGUUCAUGAUCCUGCCUGUGGGGGCAUCCAGCUUCCGGGAAGCCAUGCGCAUUGGAGCAGAGGUUUACCACAACCUGAAGAACGUGAUCAAGGAGAAGUACGGGAAGGACGCCACCAAUGUGGGUGAUGAGGGUGGAUUCGCACCUAACAUCCUGGAGAACAAAGAAGCACUGGAGCUGCUCAAGACUGCAAUCGCAAAGGCCGGCUACACUGACCAGGUUGUCAUCGGCAUGGAUGUGGCUGCCUCCGAGUUCUACAGGUCUGGCAAGUAUGACCUGGACAUCAAGUCUCCGGAUGACCCCAGCAGGUACAUCACGCCCGACCAGCUGGCUGACCUGUACAAGUCCUUCAUCCAGAACUACCCAGUGGUGUCCAUCGAAGAUCCCUUUGACCAAGACGACUGGGGCGCCUGACAGAAGUUCACGGCUAGUGCGGGCAUCCAGGUGGUGGGAGAUGACCUCACAGUUACCAACCCUAAACGGAUUGCCAAGGCCGCGAGCAAGAAGUCCUGCAACUGCCUCCUGCUCAAAGUGAACCAGAUCGGCUCCGUGACUGAGUCCCUGCAGGCGUGUAAGCUGGCCCAAUCCAAUGGCUGGGGCGUCAUGGUGUCCCACCGACCUGAGGAAACUGAGGACACUUUCAUCGCAGACCUGGUGGUGGGGCUCUGCACUGGGCAGAUCAAGACUGGUGCCCCUUGCCGAUCUGAGCGCCUGGCCAAGUACAAUCAGAAUCUUAGAAUCGAGGAAGAGCUGGGCAGCAAAGCCAAGUUUGCUGGCAGGUCCUUCAGGAACCCCCUGGCCAAGUAAAGCAUGGACUGGAGAU
This is a non-coding RNA of Mus caroli (Ryukyu mouse), 1384 nucleotides long. Lineage: Eukaryota; Metazoa; Chordata; Mammalia; Rodentia; Muridae. The record is from RefSeq and is a predicted model, not a curated record.